UACGUAGGAGGCAAGCGUUGUCCGGAUUUAUUGGGCGUAAAGAGCGUGUAGGCGGCCAGGUAGGUCCGGUGUGAAAACUCGAGGCUUAACCUCGAGAUGUCAUCGGAAACCAUCUGGCUAGAGUCCGGAAGAGGAGAUUGGAAUUCCUGGUGUAGCGGUGAAAUGCGCAGAUAUCAGGAAGAACACCAAUGGCGAAGGCAGCUCUCUGGGACGGUACUGACGCUGAGACGCGAAAGCGUGGGGAGCGAACAGG
This 253-nucleotide ribosomal RNA is filed under the name uncultured bacterium. RNAcentral describes it as "partial 16S ribosomal RNA". It matches the Rfam family "Bacterial small subunit ribosomal RNA", at positions 524 to 776 of the family's 1533-position model. The record is from RNAcentral.